GCCUGGGCCAAGGAGCCGGUGCUGGUCGUGUCCUUCGUCAUUGGGAGCCUCAGACCCCCAGGGCCCCAGCCUGGAGUGGCUGAAGAAACUUCACUAACCUGAUCAAUUCUACACAUUGCAUUUGCCCAGGAUGCCUCUCACAUCUUCGAGAAGGUAGCCAUCUGCAAGUCAGGAAGAGAACUCUCGCCAGCAACCAAAUUCAUCGAGACUUGAUUUUGGACUUUCUAGCCUCCAGUAUUGUGAGAUAAUAAAUCUGUGUUUGAGUCACACAGUCUAGAGCAGCUUGUUAUCGCAGCCUGAGAAAACGGGUUGAUUGCAUGCAUGGAUUCCUCAAUCUAUUUUGAGCCUGUCCCUCAGCCUGGGUCCGGAAUGUCCCUCAGGGCUAGGUCAGUGAUGCUACAUGUAGCAGUGUCCCCAGCUUUGACCUGACCAAUCCUUUGUUUGUUCCCCCAUCUCUCUUAGCUCUGGGAAUGUUGGCUUGUCCUGCAGCAAACGUGCUCCAUUAUGUUGGCACAAGGAUGCAAGCCUGAUUCAAACUUGUAUUUAUUCAAACCUGCAUUCCAACAUGUUCUCAGCCUUGAGAUCAUUAAUAUGGACAGAAGUCCCUGGACUAACGGAAUUUAUAUUUUGGGAGCAGAGAUAGAUAAUAAAUAAACAAGAAAAUGACAUAGCACAUAAGAUGUGCUACACUGCAGAGGAGAAUGAGAAGAGAAGAAAAAAGUGCUUCUAUUUUCAGUAGAAUAGUCAAAGACAGCCUCGCAGAGAAGACCUUUAAGCAGAGAAUUUAGGAAGGUACAGAGAAUAAUGCAUGUGGAUACUGAAGGGGAGAGAGUUCUAGGCCAGAAGAAAAGCAAGUGCAAAAAUCCAGAGAUCACAGUGUUCUUGCAAAACAGCAAGGAGAUCACUGUACUGGGGCAGAAUAAGCAAGGGUUGGGAGAAGCGGAAUCUUCGGAAGCAGGGGAGGCUGGAUUAUGUGGGGCAUGGAAGCCACCAUGAGUUUGUUGCUCUGAUUAUGAAAGUGAUAAGAAGACGAUGUUGACAAGAGUGAUAUGAUGCGAGUUACGUUUUAGCUGAAUCCCUUGUCUGCUAAAAUCAGAAUAACAGAUUCAGGGUGACCUGUCAGAAUGCCACCAUGACAAUCCAGACACCAGGUGAUGGUGGCUUGAGCCAAGGAAGAAGCCAUGAAGCUGGCCUGAAGUGGUCAGGGAGUGGCCCAGCUGGGAAGGCAGAGCUCACAGGAUGUGCUGACACAUUGGACAUGAUUAUAAGGAAAAAGAGACAGUGACGACAGAACCAGAAAUGUUUUGGCCCGAGCAACUUGGAGGAAGUGACCAUCGACUGAAAUGGGGAAGAAUCAGGUUUUGGGUAGAAGAGAAUAGCAUGGGUGUGGAUCUAGAUGUGACGUUUGAGAGGUUUAUUAAACCUUCAAGAAGAAAGAUCAGCCAAGCAUGGAGACACAGAAUUUAUGGACAUAUAAUCUGGAGGCCACAGCACACAUAUCAUGAAGCCAGAAGACCAGAUAAUUUAAAUGAGGGAGAAAGUGUAGGGAAGAAAAAUUAGCCCAGCGACUAAGCUCUGAGGAUUCAACACGUAAGGGUCAGGAUGAUGAAGAAGAGGCCAGAAAGGAGACUGAGUAGAAGGAGCUGAUAAAAUAGGAGAAAACCCAGGAGAGCAUGUUGGCCUUAAAGCCAAGCAGUGAAAACGUCUUCAGGGAAAAGUGCAAUCAUCACGGCUGACAGAACCGUGGGACUCGCCAGGAAGCUCUUGCUAGAGAGGAGACAACUACCUCAGUGGUAUCACAGAGGCGGGCUGGCAAUGUCCUGACACACUGUCGAAUUUCAUGUAAUUUCCCAUCUUGCUAUUCCUGGAGCACUCUUUUCCCAUUUAGAAAUCCUCGGAAACCGCCGGGCACGGAGGCUCACACCUGUAAUCCCAGCACUUGGGGAGGCCGAGGCAGACAGAUCACGAGGUCAGGAGAUGGAGACCAUCCUGGCUAACACAGUGAAACCCCAUCUCUACUAAAAAUACAAAAAAUUAGCCGGGCAUGGUGGCGGGCGCCUGUGGUCCCAGCUACUCGGGAGGCUGAGGCAGGAGAAUGGGGUGAACCUGGGAGGUGGAGGUUGCAGUGAGCCGAGAUGCGCCACUGCACUCCAGCCUGGGCGACAGAGCAAGACUCUGUCUCAAGAAAAAAAAAAAGAAAA
This is a long non-coding RNA of Pan troglodytes (chimpanzee), 2201 nucleotides long. RefSeq lists it as uncharacterized. Lineage: Eukaryota; Metazoa; Chordata; Mammalia; Primates; Hominidae. The transcript has 3 exons. The record is from RefSeq and is a predicted model, not a curated record.